AUACGUAGGGGGCGAGCGUUGUCCGGAAUGAUUGGGCGUAAAGGGCGCGUAGGCGGCCCGGUAAGUCUGGAGUGAAAGUCCUGUUUUUAAGAUGGGAAUUGCUUUGGAUACUGUCGGGCUUGAGUGCAGGAGAGGUAAGUGGAAUUCCCAGUGUAGCGGUGAAAUGCGUAGAGAUUGGGAGGAACACCAGUGGCGAAGGCGACUUACUGGACUGCAACUGACGCUGAGGCGCGAAAGUGUGGGGAGCAAACAGGAUUAGAUACCCUGGUAGUCCACACUGUAAACGAUGAAUGCUAGGUGUAGGGGGUAUCGACCCCUUCUGUGCCGCAGUCAACACAAUAAGCAUUCCGCCUGGGGAGUACGGCCGCAAGGUUGAAACUCAAAUGAAUUGACGGGG
Molecule: ribosomal RNA, 397 nt
Filed under: uncultured bacterium
Lineage: Bacteria
Description: partial 16S ribosomal RNA
Rfam family: Bacterial small subunit ribosomal RNA
Source: RNAcentral